RNAcentral lists this small nuclear RNA (104 nucleotides) under Microcebus murinus (gray mouse lemur). The record is from RNAcentral. Lineage: Eukaryota; Metazoa; Chordata; Mammalia; Primates; Cheirogaleidae.
GCACUCGCUUCGGCAGCACAUAUACUAAAAUUGGAAAGAUACAGAGAUUAGCAUGGCCCCCACGCAAAGAUGACACACAAAUUCAUGAAGUGUUAAAAAUAACU